Molecule: ribosomal RNA, 640 nt
Filed under: Celeribacter sp.
Lineage: Bacteria; Pseudomonadati; Pseudomonadota; Alphaproteobacteria; Rhodobacterales; Roseobacteraceae
Description: bacterial SSU rRNA
Rfam family: Bacterial small subunit ribosomal RNA
Source: RNAcentral
GGGGAAAGAAUUUCGGUGAGGGAUCGGCCCGCGUUAGAUUAGUUAGUUGGUGGGGUAAUGGCCUACCAAGACUACGAUCUAUAGCUGGUUUGAGAGGAUGAUCAGCAACACUGGGACUGAGACACGGCCCAGACUCCUACGGGAGGCAGCAGUGGGGAAUCUUAGACAAUGGGGGCAACCCUGAUCUAGCGAUGCCGCGUGAGUGAUGAAGGCCUUAGGGUCGUAAAGCUCUUUCGCCUGUGAUGAUAAUGACAGUAGCAGGUAAAGAAACCCCGGCUAACUCCGUGCCAGCAGCCGCGGUAAUACGGAGGGGGUUAGCGUUGUUCGGAAUUACUGGGCGUAAAGCGCACGUAGGCGGAUUAGUCAGUCAGAGGUGAAAUCCCAGGGCUCAACCCUGGAACUGCCUUUGAUACUGCUAGUCUUGAGUUCGAGAGAGGUAAGUGGAAUUCCGAGUGUAGAGGUGAAAUUCGUAGAUAUUCGGAGGAACACCAGUGGCGAAGGCGGCUUACUGGCUCGAUACUGACGCUGAGGUGCGAAAGUGUGGGGAGCAAACAGGAUUAGAUACCCUGGUAGUCCACACCGUAAACGAUGAAUGCCAGUCGUCGGGUAGCAUGCUAUUCGGUGACNCACCUAACGGAUU